UGCCCUUAGUUGCCAUCGGGUCACGCCGGGAACUCUAAGGGGACGCCCGGACAACGGGAGGAAGUGGGGAUGACGUCAAGUCAGCAUGGCCUUUAUGUCCAGGGCUACACACGUGCUACAAUGGUUGGUACAAAGGGUUGCCAAGCCGUGAGGCGGAGCCAAUCUCCAAAAAGCCAACCUCAGUUCGGAUUGCAGUCUGCAACUCGACUGCAUGAAGUUGGAAUCGCUAGUAAUCGCUGAUCAGCAGGCAGCGGUGAAUACGUUCCCGGGCCUU
This 274-nucleotide ribosomal RNA is filed under the name uncultured Holophagae bacterium. RNAcentral's name for it is "partial 16S ribosomal RNA". It matches the Rfam family "Bacterial small subunit ribosomal RNA", at positions 1106 to 1382 of the family's 1533-position model. Lineage: Bacteria; Pseudomonadati; Acidobacteriota; Holophagae. The record is from RNAcentral.